RNAcentral lists this transfer RNA (50 nucleotides) under Verrucomicrobiota bacterium. Its description in RNAcentral is "Verrucomicrobia bacterium (fermentation metagenome) tRNA-Ser". It matches the Rfam family "tRNA", at positions 26 to 71 of the family's 71-position model. Rfam says of the family: Transfer RNA (tRNA) molecules are approximately 80 nucleotides in length. Their secondary structure includes four short double-helical elements and three loops (D, anti-codon, and T loops). The record is from RNAcentral. Lineage: Bacteria; Pseudomonadati; Verrucomicrobiota.
GCUCACUCGUAAUGAGCAGGUCAUCGGUUCGAAUCCGAUCGUUGGCUCCA